AUGAGAGUAUUCUACACCAGAUAUCUGGUUUCGACCCAGAAGACCUUACAUACUAAGCUCUCAAA
This 65-nucleotide transfer RNA is filed under the name Chilabothrus argentum (Conception Bank silver boa). Its description in RNAcentral is "tRNA-Arg". The record is from RNAcentral. Lineage: Eukaryota; Metazoa; Chordata; Lepidosauria; Squamata; Boidae.